UUAGCGAUUAAAAAAAUAAGUUACUUUAGGGAUAACAGCGUAAUUUUUUUGGAGAGUUCAUAUCGAUAAAAANGAUUGNGACGGNGAUGUUGGAUUAAGAUAUAAUUUUAGGUGUAGCCGCUUAAAUUUUAAGUCUGUUCGACUUUUAAAUUCUUNCAAAAUCUGAGUUCAAACCGGCGUAAGCCAGGUUGGUUUCUAUCUUUAAAAAAUUAAAAUAUUUCAGUACGAAC
This 230-nucleotide ribosomal RNA is filed under the name Paralucilia fulvinota. RNAcentral describes it as "partial large subunit ribosomal RNA". The stretch from base 1 to 200 matches the Rfam family "Bacterial large subunit ribosomal RNA", at positions 2442 to 2642 of the family's 2925-position model. The record is from RNAcentral. Lineage: Eukaryota; Metazoa; Arthropoda; Insecta; Diptera; Calliphoridae.